Molecule: transfer RNA, 71 nt
Filed under: Loxodonta africana (African savanna elephant)
Lineage: Eukaryota; Metazoa; Chordata; Mammalia; Proboscidea; Elephantidae
Rfam family: tRNA
About the family: Transfer RNA (tRNA) molecules are approximately 80 nucleotides in length. Their secondary structure includes four short double-helical elements and three loops (D, anti-codon, and T loops). Further hydrogen bonds mediate the characteristic L-shaped molecular structure. tRNAs have two regions of fundamental functional importance: the anti-codon, which is responsible for specific mRNA codon recognition, and the 3' end, to which the tRNAs corresponding amino acid is attached (by aminoacyl-tRNA synthetases). tRNAs cope with the degeneracy of the genetic code in two manners: having more than one tRNA (with a specific anti-codon) for a particular amino acid; and 'wobble' base-pairing, i.e. permitting non-standard base-pairing at the 3rd anti-codon position.
Source: Rfam by way of RNAcentral
GCAGAGGUAGUUUAGUGGUAGAAUUCUUGCCUUUCAUGCGGGAGACCUGGGUUGGACUCCUGGCCAAUGCC